UACAGAGGUCCCAAGCGUUGUUCGGAUUCACUGGGCGUAAAGGGUGCGCAGGUGGCGCUUCAAGUUUGAUGUGAAAGCUUCGGGCUCAACCCGGAAAUGGCAUUGAAUACUGGAGUGCUGGAGGUUUGGAGGGGGGACUGGAAUUCUCGGUGUAGCAGUGAAAUGCGUAGAUAUCGAGAGGAACACCAGUGGCGAAGGCGGGUCUCUGGGCCGAUACUGACGCUGAGGAGCGAAAGCGUGGGGAGCGAACAGG
RNAcentral lists this ribosomal RNA (253 nucleotides) under uncultured bacterium. RNAcentral's name for it is "partial 16S ribosomal RNA". It matches the Rfam family "Bacterial small subunit ribosomal RNA", at positions 524 to 776 of the family's 1533-position model. The record is from RNAcentral.